AUUGAACGCUGGCGGCAGGCCUAACACAUGCAAGUCGAGCGCGCGGCGGACGGGUGAGUAAUAUAUGGGGACUGACCGAUAGAGGGGGAUAAAUACAGGGAACGGUAGCUAAUAACCCAUAAUACCGGAUAACCCCUAUGGGAUUAGCUAGUAGGUGAGGUAAUGGCUCACUUAGGCGACGAUACCUAGCUGGUCUGAGAGGAUGAUCAGCCACACGGGGACUGAGACACGGCCCAGACUCCUACGGAGGCAGCAGUGGGGAAUAUUGCACAAUGGGCGCAAGCCUGAUGCAGCCAUGCCGCGUGUAUGAAGAAGGCCCUAGGGUUGUAAAGUACUUUCAGUCGGGAGGCGUUACCGACAGAAGAAGCACCGGCUAACUCCGUGCCAGCAGCCGCGGUAAUAC
RNAcentral lists this ribosomal RNA (403 nucleotides) under uncultured bacterium. Its description in RNAcentral is "partial 16S ribosomal RNA". It matches the Rfam family "Bacterial small subunit ribosomal RNA", at positions 30 to 526 of the family's 1533-position model. The record is from RNAcentral.